UUCAUCAAGAAACGAAAGUUGUGGGCGCGAAGAUGAUCAGAUACCGUCGUAGUCGCAACUAUAAACUUUGUCGCCCAAGGGGUAGUGGUAGUUACAUGAUGACACCCCUAUAACUUUGUGAGAAAUCACAAGGAUUUGGACUCUGGGGGAAGUAUGGUCGCAAGGCUGAAACUUAAAGGAAUUGACGGAAGGGCACCACCAGGAGUGGAACCUGCGGCUUAAUUUGACUCAACACGGGGAAACUUACCAGGUCCAGACACAGUGAGGAUUGACAGAUUGAUAGCUCUUUCUUGAUUCUGUGGAAAGUGGUGCAUGGCCGUUUUUAGUUGGUGGAUUGAUUUGUCUGGUUAAUUCCGUUAACGAACGAGACCUAAACCUACUAACUAGUUAAUGGUAACUUGGACUCUAAAAAGAGACCUCAUAUUUAUCCAAACUUCUUAGAGGGACUCUUUAUACUUAGUGAAUGGAAGUUUUAGGCAACAACAGGUCUGUGAUG
RNAcentral lists this ribosomal RNA (496 nucleotides) under Longinebela tubulosa. RNAcentral describes it as "SSU rRNA". It matches the Rfam family "Eukaryotic small subunit ribosomal RNA", at positions 973 to 1469 of the family's 1831-position model. The record is from RNAcentral. Lineage: Eukaryota; Tubulinea; Elardia; Arcellinida; Hyalospheniidae.